Phrynosoma platyrhinos (Desert horned lizard) is the source of this 73-nucleotide non-coding RNA. The record is from the annotation of a GenBank genome assembly. Lineage: Eukaryota; Metazoa; Chordata; Lepidosauria; Squamata; Phrynosomatidae.
GGCCAGAAUGGUGUAAUGGUUUGCGAGCUGAACUAUGACUUUGGAGACCAGGGUUCGAAUCCCUGCUUGGCCA